Long non-coding RNA from Galleria mellonella (greater wax moth), 14187 nucleotides. RefSeq lists it as uncharacterized. The record is from RefSeq and is a predicted model, not a curated record. The transcript is spliced from 3 exons. Lineage: Eukaryota; Metazoa; Arthropoda; Insecta; Lepidoptera; Pyralidae.
GCCAUUUACAAAGUCAUCAACGUACGUUGAAGUCUCCAAGUAUUUAGUUAUUGUGUCGUGAAUUACCAAUGUUCCAUUCAUGGAGGACUUCCUCAUUCGUUAGUUUUUCUGUCCAGUUUCAGAAUAUAUUUGAAGAAAAUACAGUCGAAUAUAACCAUUACAGAACACAAUUCGAUAAUAAUAGUGAUAUUUUAAUCAUUAUGAAAGAAACAAUGAAGCCGUCAUCAUACUCAACCUUGCAUUUAAUUAAAAUAGAAGUGUUCGAUUAGGAGUCAUUUGCAAACAUACCGACAGAUCAACAUUGGAAAAAUGCGAAGUUAAAAAUGAAAUAUUACACCAACAAAAACAACAAACAUUUAGACAUCAUAAACAAAAUAAUGUAACAAAAGAAAUUUUACAGACAGAUACUUGUAAAACAAUGUGCUUUAACAAUAAUGACGAGUAACUAACUAAUGAAUGUUAAUUACAAUUUAAUUUAUGGAUAAAUGAUUAGCAAGAUUUUAAUGAGUUAAUCGUUUUUAUUUAUUAUAACAAAAGAUUUUGAAAUGUUUAUUUGAAUCCAGUUGUAUAAGAAGCUCAGCAAAAUUUAUAGCGAAUAUAAUUUACACUUGAAUAGUGUAGCAUAAACUGGAAUAAAAUGGAAUUUACUUGUGUUAGUACAUUUUUCAAUGGCUUUAACUUUGAGUGCAAUGAGAGUAUAAACAAGCUAGAACUGUAAGAAAUAUCUGAAGAAAUGGAGACGUUUCGUGUAGAAAUAGAAAUAGUAAACUCAGAACUAGUCAACACCGAAUAUGAUGAAGAGUUGCACCUUUGUGUUAAUAUUAAAAAACAGUAAUAGUCAACCAUCAUGAAAUUCCAUACAAAUGGAGUGGAGGUUAAAAAUAAAAAUGAACUCAAAAUACUCAAACAAAGAAGUCCAGAGACCGUGUCAAGAAUCAUCAACUUUAGCAGAUAUUGAUAAGGUAUUUUGUAACGUAUGUAAUAUUAGUGCAGAAGGUUUUUUGUAAAUCACACUAAGAGUAAUAUUUUACAAUAAUAUUUUAAAAUUGCAUUGCUCCUUUGCUAAUGUGUCUGUUAUAGUAUGCCUUAAGGCAACCAGUAAUAUCUAAUAAAAUUAAAAGAAAGGAAUAAUUUGAUUUAGAAUUCCAAACACCAGAACAAUUUUUAGAAGCUAUUAAAAGUGUCUCAGUUUUCAUAAUCGAUGAGGAAAUGAAGCAACAUUCUUCUUUAAAGAUAAACUUUGUUUUACAUGCAGAUUUUCUACAAAAAAUUAAACAACUAAUUAAUUUGAUUUUCAAACAAGUAAUUUCAUGAUUUCCAAAGCGGAUGAUAUACAAUUUUUUAUGCUCUCUUUACAUGAUACUUUAGCAAACUUGAUAAUUGGAGACUAAUCUUUUGAUUGAAUCAUGUACUAAAAAUAGAAGUUCUAAAUUUCUAUAAAUUAAAAGUUUCCUUAAAUUUUCGGAUAUAAGUAUUUCUCCUACUUCUUCAUAAUAAAGUUCAGAUAUAUGUAGGUCCAAGGAGCCAGAAAUAAAAUUCCUUCUAUACACAAGCGAUUUAACUUUUAUAUAACUUCAAAAUUAAUUCUUAGAAAUAAUUCGUAGGAGCACACAUAAACUCGUUCAUUUGUCGUCCAUCUUAAUCUUUUUCCAACCGUUCCUCUCUUCACUCCACAUCAGUCUCUUUUCUCGUAUUCCAAUCUAUGAAUACAACAUUCACUUUUAACAUACGUUCCGUUUCAUACCAAUCCCACAUAUAUAUUAUAAAGAUAUCUAGAUUAGUAUUUACAAUUAAAAUAUUAGUUUAAUAGACGGAAGAUUCCAUGAAAAGGACAUCAAACGGCGACAAAUACAGAUAAUGACUUAGUAAUGGAAACUUGGAUGAGAUAGAUAAAUAUAUUAAUAAGAAUAUUAAACAAUAUAAUGAUUCCGAUGGAAACUUGAGUGUCUUAGGUCACGUACACAUAUUAUUAUGUGGCGUGUAUGUAACAUUUCCCCCCUUAGAAUAAAGAUUGUGCUUGAGAACCUGAUUGACCUCUCAGUGUUAAAGUCCUUGUAUAACUUCCCUCGUUUUCCUCUUUGUUUUCCGUUACGCAGGUACUUGUUGCUAUAGUAGUCUUUGGGACGACAACCUGGGUCCUCUAAAGUCGUGAUGUGUUUGCAAAACCGUUGUUGAAUAUUUGUAUACAACCAUUAUCAUGGCUCGGUCUUCGAUUACGCAGGAGUAGUCCGUAAGAACAACGUUUGUUGAUUUUAUAACCGAAAUAUCUAAGAAUUGUUAUAAAUAACACGAAGUAUAUCCAUGUGAACGUUGUCGAAUAUCUUUGUGUGAUCGGUCGAGAUCAUAUAUUCUCUAAAUUUUCCUUAAGUUUAUCUACAUGGUGUUUUAUUUGUUUAAGUGAAUCCAGAGGCACUUCAUUGAUUUUAAUAGGAAUCUGAUUCGGAAUUUCAAUGUUCUUAUACUCUUCAAAACAAUCAUCUGUUCUAAUAUCUGGAACUAUUAUAGGAUAUGCGACAUUUUCUUCGAUAGAUUGGGAGGCUGUCACCGUACUGUACCCAGUAUGAAGUUUGUAGUUUACCGGUAGGGAUAAAAUGCCUGCUCCUUGCAAUUUGUGACGUGUAACUUCCGUUUUACACUGAAGUAUACAGUUAGGUUCUUCUGUGAAUAUAUAAAGCCAUUGGUUGUUGCCGAUAUUUUGAAACGUUAAUUUUUGCUUCAAGCGUAGAUGUAGUGCAAAUUUCAUAUAAGGUUUUUGAAAUUCAUAUCGGGAUCUGGAACUCACAUAGUGGACGUGCUGCUGCUUCAUAUGCGACAAAAUAGAUGCAGAUGUUCUUUUUCACAGUGUACGACUUGCAUGAAAUGAAGUCUCUCGUAGACACGUCUACAUUACCGCUAGGAUUCGUUGCCAAAUACAUGUGCUCAGGCAAGAUGGUUGUGUACAGAGAAGAAUUAGAAUGUUGGAUUGGAAUGGAAUAUAUGUGGUAGGUAUUGAAAGAUUUUCCUUGAAUCAAUGGAAAAUCUAAAGUGUAUACAAGUUUAUCAGAGUACACAUAAGCUGAAAGAGAAGUUGAGUCUAGUAUUGGGUGAAUAUUUUCAACAGUAACUGGAGCAACUAAGUGUUUAUUAGUACGAAUAUGAUUUGAUAAUACAAGUUCUUCAUACAGAUGCUUCAGUGUUAUUACUGAGGGAUGUAUUGUAUUGGGUUUAGUGAAUAAUAUGCUUGCUAAACAAUCAUUGAUUUCAUUUUCUAAGUUUAUUACGGAUUCUAAAAUCUGCAGAGAAAUUGCGGAAAUAUCUUCACUAGCCUUUAGAUUGAAAAUAACUUUUUGACUUGAAUUUACGUAAUCGUUAAGGCGAUUAAUAUUUUCGUUAAUUAUUUGUUCAUCAUAUUAUAUUAUCUUAAAUAUAGUUUCGUUGAAGUUUUUGGUUGUUGAAGAAAUAAUUUGGAUUUAUUCAAGCAUCAAGGAAGAUGAUUCUAUUUCACAUUUUUCUAAUUUAUUAAUGCAAUCAUCAUAUCGCUUUGCGUCAUUAGCGUCAGGAGUACCUAUUAGCCAUUUAAGAAUAGAACUGAGUUCUUCUAACAGUUUUCCUUUUUGUCUAGUAUUCCUAACUAAAUACAUAUUUAAUUCUGAUAAACGAUUCUCUAUUUAUCUAUUUUAUUAAUCGAUUUGCGUGAGCCAACUGGUUCCUGUCGGAUUUAUGAAUUAUAUAAUUUUCACUAAAACCUACAUGUAUUGCGUCGCAUGGCCUUUCCCACUUAUUGUCUAAAUUGUUUGGGUUAGGGACCUUGAUCAUCACCUUGUCAUAACGUUUAAAGGCUUUUCUUUCAUUUUCUGAAUGUUCUGUAUUGCAACAUCGUGGGCUGUUCUAAGUUGUUCGUUUAAGUCUUUAGGUCGUUUAAGUAUUGUUUUUAAUGAAUAGAAAGGUCGUGGUUUAAAACCAACAAGGAGUUCAUAAGGUGUGAAACCUAUAGAGCUAUUGACUAAUGUGUUGUGACAUAUAAUAUCCAGCGGAAUUAUUUGAUUCCAAUUUUGCAGUUUACGUGCUUGGUACAUUCGUAUUUUUGUAAUGUUCGGGUCGUCAGAAGAAAAAAAUCGCCGAUGAAUAUUUAUUAGUUUUAAUGAAGAGUAUAAAAUUCACUUAGACUAGAGAUUAACACUAUGAUGACAGCUACUGAACACUUUGACAAUUGUAGAACAAUUAAACUUCCUAAGGGUGGAAGGUCCUUAUAUAUGCCUACAAACAUUAUGUUAGCAUAGUGACCAUUAGAUAAAUAUCCAAAAUUUACAACACAUUAUUUAAUCAAUAGCAAACAUCCAAUGUUCUGAUGAAAACAAAGCUGUAAUCACUCUAUUUAGUUAUGAUACUUUCUAAUGACGUAUUUAUCAUCUAACAAUAUUCUUUGUUCACUGUUGACUACAAUACGUAAUUAUUCAUCGUUAUAGUAUUUAUCUGUAUAUUACAAUUCUCCCCCGUUAAGAAAAACAAAAAAUUUUCUUUAAAAUUAUGUUUUUUUCAGACAACAUUCAAUACAAAAAUCAUUAAAAUAAUUUUAACAAACAAUUAUUCUUAUUUUUACGUUAAUUAAUCAUUAUAUAGUAUUAACAAUUAACCUUCAAAUUAACAUGGUUUCAUUAUAAUAAUUAAUAAUACAUAUAUUUGGUAAUUAAAAUCUAUUAUUUAUUUUAACAAUUCAACUUACUUUUAAAUGAGCAAUUCUACUGCUUCUUCUUAGCGGUGAUAAAACCGGUUCUUCUGUAGAGGAUAUGUCUUCUAACUCAAUAUCUCUUUCAGUAUCAGUAUUAUUACUAUUGUUAACUCUUAAAGUGAUACAAUUACUAAUUCUAGUACAACAAUUUCGAGAAUCUUUGAGAGCUAACAGUCUACCUCGAUUAGUACAGAAGAAUUUACGUUUAUAAAUAUAUUUUCCAAUACGGUAUAUUAUAUAAGAAAACAUUAUUUUUAUAAUUGAUAUGAAAAUAUAGAUAAAGUACGCGUUAUUUGUUAUCUUAAUAUAAAUUGAUUCGUUUUACAAAUUAGCUAUCAUUUCUUCCACUUUAUUUAUUUUAUAGCUUGCUAUUUUAAGACUUUCUAAAUCUAAUUUAUCAUUAGAUCUUAAAGCUAUAAAUUCAAUUUUUGAUAUAUUUUUAUCUUCUACAACAGUCAUCAUUUACAGUGUCAACAGAAGGUAAUAUAGAAUUAUAUUCACUAAUUAGACCUUUUAUUUCAGUUUGCAAAAUUACGUUCACAGUAUAUAAUUUACAACUAUCGGUGAUUGACAAUAUUCCUGUAUUAAUUAUAUUAAAAUCAAUAGGUUCUUUAUCUUUACAACUUAUGGUUGCGACAGUUUUUCUAGGGAUGACAAAUAACCAUUUGUUGUUAGUAUAUAACUUAUGCCAUUGUUCAUUAGGAAUGUACGUCACUCUAGUAUCACAUUCAUUGGAAACUUUUAUAUUUCCAAAUAUUAAUUGAGUUUCAGAUGUAGGACUUCCAUGAACAGAGUACAAAGGUAUAUACUAUAAUGUUCUAAAUUAUUAAAAUAAGCAUAAUGCAUUUUAUUACCGGAUAUUAUGAAAUAUUUUUCUUUAGGCAAAAUGAAUGUAAAUGUCUUAUCAUUAUUUCUAAUGGGUACAGGAACUACAUUAUACAAUUCAUAAUCAGUUUGCGUUAUUAAAUGUGUUUUAAUUAAAAAUACAAGUUUAUCAUUCGUAUAAUAUGAAACUAAAUCUACUAAGGAUAAUAAUUCAGAAGCUUCGCUAAUUGAAAAACUUAAAGGAUAUUUAGUUUGUAAAGGCAAAUAUAGCACAGUUCUUCUAAGCUCUGUAAUAUAUUGUUCAGGGUGUAAUGCGUUAUUUUUUGAAAACAGGAUUGUAUUUAUGAUAGUUGACACUUCAUUGCUUAUUUUUGUAAUAAUUAAGGUUAACAAUGACAAAUGUUCGUUAAUAUCUUGUUUUAAAUUUAUAUAAAAAAUUAUCGUGUUCACUUUUUUUGUAUAAUUAGAAAGAAUAUCUAAAAUUUUAAUGAAAUUUUUUUUCAUUACAAUAUAGAUAUGUAAGAGUAUUAUAAAAAUUUGAAAGAGUACUUUUAAUGACAUUAGUCUGAGUCUUUAAUAAACUUAAUAUAUCAUGUUCAUGAGAAUCUAAAUUGUAAAUAGCUUCGUCAUAUCGUUCUGCAUCUUCAGAAUCUAAAGUACUAAAAAGAACUUUAAAUAUUUUUCCAACAUCAUCAAUGUAAGAUCAUUUUACUUGAUGAACUAUAUUUGUUCUACCGGUUAAUUUCUUUAAAAUGCUUUCUUGACUAUAAAGUUAAGGGAUAAUUUGAUCUAAUACCGUGAAUGAUGUUUCAGAAAGAGAAAAAUUACUAAACUUUUGAUGAUUAUAUAUUUCCCUAGUUCUACUAUAAGUGUUAUCUAUUAAAUCAAUCUUAUGAUGUAUUUCAGAAAUAUUUAAAUAUAUUCAUAUUCCAUUCGCUAUCGUAGUGGUUGACUUAACCUUUUUUGUUUUGUUUAACGUGUGGAAAUCUUCAGCAAGACCGUCCCACCUGCCGGAGGGAGGGCAGUUGGGGUGUGUGGGAUUCGUACCCACUAAAAACCACACGACGUACCUCCAGGCGCUUAUGUUGGAUCCCGGGUUCCCGUUUGUAUGACUACCGAGUAUCCAACGCGAGUGGUUGACUUUACCUAGAUGUUCAAAUAUGUUCCGCCUUUGUCUAUACUAGUUAUAUUAUAUGAGCUUAACUUACUUGCGUUACAUCCGUAGAUGAUAAUGAGCAUCUUCAAAACUCCAAUCAUAAUGUUCAAUCUAAAACAAUCGCAUGUUUCAGUCUGUUGGUACGAAUGGACCUGAUCAUGGGUUUUUUUCUACACUGAAAUGUUAAAUGUCCUAGCAUAUGACAAUUAGAACAACGCUUUUUUUUAUUUAUUUCAAAAUGUUUUGAGCUCAUUUCAUGACGCAAUUUUAUUUCUUGCUCUUCAGAUAUGACUAUAUAUAUGGCUUCCUCAAAGUUGGGAGGUUUUUGUGAUUUUAAUAAUAUGUGUACUUGGGUUAUGAGACCACUUAUAAAGAUAUCUAGUGUUUGACUUUUUAAUAAAUCUAUAUUUGCUCUCGCGCUUCUUUUGUUAAUUUUGGAUUCAAUGAUUUAAUUAAUUUAAUGAAGCAAUUUUCGACUUUAUUUCAAUAAUUUAAAACUGGCUCAUUAUGUCCUUGUUUACAUGAAUUUAAUUCUAAUUGCCAUUGUACAAACGUUUGUUUUUCAGAAUAAUUUUCUAAUAAAUGUUCUGUCAGAGCAUUCCAUGAAUUAAAUGUUCGAUUUAAUAAUGUUGACCUGAUAUUUUCUUCUGUUUUUGAUAAUACAUCUGACACAAAUGCAAUUCUGUAUAUUGGAUUUAAUAAAUUAUACGCAUUUUUACAAUUAUCAAUAAAAACAUGCAGAUUUGCUUUAUCAUCAUUAUAUCUUUGUAUCAUUCUUUCUGCCAGACUAAUAUCGAUAAAUCCACUAUUUUUUAUUUCUUCUAAAAUAGACAUUUAUACAAAAAUAUUUUAUUUUUAUUACUCUUUAUAAACUUAAUAAUAUUUUAUAAACUUUAAAACUGUUACACAAAUUUUAAAUACACAAUAUAAUUUACUUGUCUAGUUUUAUGUUGCGGAAAUGUUCUUUUUGCUUGUUGCUUCGUUGUAGGGUUUGUAGUCACGCCGUGGUAAAAACUGCCAAAGAAUAACAAUGGACAGCUGGUGCAGUGUUGUGCUGUCUUCUAAGUCUUGGAUGAGUAAAGAUGAAAUAAUCUUGGAGAACUCCAAUUUCAGUCUUCUUAAAUAAAUCUUGGACGAGUAUCGAGGAUAAAUGUGUCUCGACUACUAACUCGAAUUUGAUUCUUACAUCGUUGUGCGUCUUGUUUCUAAAGUAUUUUGUACAAACACGUACCAAUGUAGUUACGAUCUGCUUGUCGAUGCUUCCUUUGUUGACCCGGUGUGUUUUAUUAUUAGGAUACGAAAUUCAUCACUUCUGAUACCAAUUGGUAAUGUUCGGGUCGUCAGAAUAAAAUAUUUCCGAAGAAUAUUUAUAAGUUUUAAUGAAGAGUAUAAAAUUCACUUAGACUAGAGAUGAACACUAUGAUGACAACUACUGAACUGCUUGACAGUUGUAGAACAACAGAUUUCUUAGGGAUGGAAGGUCCUUAUAUAUGACUACAAACAUUAUGUUAGCAUAGUGACGAUUAGAUAAAUAUCCAAAGUUUACAACAACACAUUAUUUAAUCAAUAGCAAACAUUCAAUGUUCUGAUGAAAACAAAGCUGUAAUCACUCUAUUUAGUUAUGAUACUUUCUAAUGACGUAUUUAUCAUCUAACAAUAUUCUUUGUUCACUGUUAACUACAAUACGUAAUUUUUCAUCGUUAUAGUAUUUACCUGUACAUUACACAUACACUUAUUAAUAUGUGGCGUAUAUGUAACACCUCUUCCCUUAGAAUAAAUAUUGGGCUUGAGAGCCUGAUCUCAAGCCCAAUGAUUGACCUCUCGGUGUUAAAGUUCUUGAAUAACUUCCCUAGUUUUUCUCUUCGUCUUCCCUUUCGCAGUUACAUAUUGCUAUAGUAGUCAUCUGGACGGCAGCCUGAGUUCUCUGAUGUCGUGAUGUGUUUACAAAACAGUUGUUGAAUAUUUGUAUACAACCAUUAUCACGGCUCGGUCUUCGGUUAUGUAGGAGUAUUCCGUUAGAAGAACGUUUGCUGAUUUUAUAAAUAAAGUAUCUAAGAAUUGUUAUAAAUAACACGAAGUAUAUCCAUGUGAACGUUGUCACAUAUCUUUGUGGGAUCGGUCGAGAUCUCAUAUUCUCUAAAUUUUCUUUAAACUUGUCUACAUGGUGUUUUGUUUGUUUAAGUGAAUCCAGAGACAUUUCAUUGAUUUUAAUAGGAAUCUGAUUCGGAAUUUCAAUGUUCUUAUACUCUUCAAAACAAUCGUCUGUUCUAAUAUCUAGAACUAUUAUAGGAUAUGUGACAUUUUCUUCGAUAGAUUGGGAGGCUGUCACCGUACUGUACCCAGUAUGAAGUUUGUAGUUUUCCAGUAGGGAUAAUAUGCCUGCUCCUUGCAAUUUAUGACAUUUGACUUCUAUUUUACACUGAAGUAUCCAGUUAGUUUCUUCUGUGAAUAUAUAAAGCCAUUGGUUGUUGUCGAUAUUUUGAAAUAUGUUAAUUUUUGCUUUAAAUGUGGACGUGGUGCAAAUUUCAAAUAAGGUUUUUGAAAUAUAUAACGGGAUCUGGAACUCACAUAGUGGACGUGCUGCUGCUUCAUAUGCGACAAAAUAGAUGCAGAUGUUCUUUUUCACAGUGUACGACUUGCAUGAAAUGAAGUCUCUCGUAGACACGUCUACAUUACCGCUAGGAUUCGUUGCCAAAUACAUGUGCUCAGGCAAGAUAGUUGUGUACAGAGAGGAAUUAGAAUGUUGGAUUGAAAUGGAAUAUAUGUGGUAGGGAUUGAAAGAUUUUCCUUGAAUCAAUGGAAAAUCUAAAAUGUAUACAAGUCUAUCAGAGUACACAUAAGCUGAAAGAGAAGCUGAGUCUAAUAUUGGGUGAAUAUUUUCAACAGUAACUGUAACGAGUAACUAAGUGUUUAUUAGUACGAAUAUGAUUUGAUAAUAAAAGUUUUUCAUACAGAUGCUUCAGUGUUAUUACUGAGGGAUGUAUUGUAUUGGGUUUAGUGAAUAAUAUGCUUGCUAAACAAUCAUUGAUAUCAUUUUCUAAGUUUAUUACGGAUUCUAAUAUCAAUUUGAUGAAAACCGAAUGCUAAAUCUAAAGUUGUGAAAUAUACUGAUUGUCCUAACUUAUCAAGUAUGUCAGUUAUGUUGGGUAGCAGGUAACCGUCUUCUAUAGUGACAUCAUUUAAUUUUAUGUAAUCAAUUACAACGCGCCAUUUUUGUUUUCUAGACGCGUCUAGAUUUUUUAGGAACUACCCAAAUUGAACUGCUCCAUGGAGAAGUGCUAUCUUUUAUAAUAUUCUGUUUUAACAUUUUGUCUUCUUAAUUCUUGCUGGUGUAUUUGAGGAAAUCUAUAUAUUUUAGUAUUUAUUGGUAUAUCUGACGUAGUAAGAAUAGAGUGUUUGGUGUGAUUUGAAUACGUCGGUGGCUCACCUUCCACGUAGAAAAUGUCCGAAUAUUCUGAAACUAUUUUAUCGAGAGAUUCACGCUCUUCUUUGUUUAAAUGAUCAUAUCUUAUAAGGCUACCGAUAUCUUUUCUUUGUUUUAUGCCGGUGUUAUUUAUUUGUGAAUCAGGUAAGGAAAUAGGGUGUUGAAUUAAUUUCGAUUCAUUGACAGAAUUUGCAUUUAUGAUAGGCGUUGAAAUAUAUACUCGUACAUCAUUGUCACUCGAGUUUACACAAUCACAAGGGCAUUAGGAAUACAGAUGUCGUCACCAACGUUUUGUUUAUUUAUUAUUGCAAUUUCGACUGAGAUAUCAUUUGUUAAAGAUGAUAUGAGACAGUAAUAUGAACGACGUUUGAUAUUUUGAUACCAUUAUCAAAGUACUUUGUUUCGUCUCGGAGUUAAUAGUUUUCAUUGAUUGAGUUAAUAAAGUUUCAAUUACCUUUAUAAGAGAUUCGGUGAUUUUUAUAAGGUUAAUCAUCAAUAAUUUAGAAAGCUCUAAGUUGGCCCUAGUAGCCGUCGUGGUUUUAUCAUCACGAGUACACAUAUCGCUUAAUUGUCCCCGAUGGACUGGAAUUGUUUGCGCGUGUAUAGUGAUGUUUGUGUUAUAUUGAUAUUGGUAUUAUAUUGAUUUCGAUAAUGCAACACGACACUGGUUACUGUUAACUUUUAUUGAAGUUGGAGAUCGCUCGUCUGAGGUUCUAGGGUAAUGUCCUAACUCUCGGUGAUCAUCGAGAUAUUGAUGCAAUACGUUGGAACCGUUUACAAAACUGUGCCCGUCAGCUCGACCGGUUGCAAGUUUGAACGACUUACUCGAGCUGGGGCUGGAUUAUUUUGUUAUUCGUGGAAAUUGAAUCUUAUGGCUAUUAUUAAAUAUUUGCUUCCUGCAAUUAGUUAUGUGAUGCCCAGGUUUUUUACAAUAAUAGCAUAUAAUGAACUUUCGCGGAUCAGUAUUAAUAUUUCUGUUAAUCUGGUGGUCUAUAUAUGUAAGGUUGACUGAUCUGAGGUGUUGAUGAACGAUGUUGUUAUAUAAUGUUGUUAUUCGAUUAUUUUUAAACAAACGUUGCCUAGCUGUAUUUAUUUUUUCGGAUUUUUUCUUUCUGGGUUGCAAUUUCCGACCUGAUUCAAUGAAGCAAAACCUUUUGUUUUCAAUAUUACAUCUACGUCAGAACUUAAUCCAUUAAUAAAAACGUUAAGAGCUGUUUCUUCCGUGGUACUUUUCCGUCCUAUUAAUGUUAUGUUACCACUUCAAUUGUAAAUUUUUCUAAGAUUUUAUUCCUACAUAAAUCUACGCGAUGAAAAGAUUCCGUUACCGAUUCAUUCGGUUUCUCAAUGAGUAAUUGUAAUUCUAGAUUUAGAUGUAAAAGAGUUUUUAGCUGCGAAAAUUUCUGUGUAAGAAAAGUUUUUAAAUUGUCCCAGUUUGAAUAAAGUCUCGAGUGAAUAUCGAAGGAAGUACUCCCACUUAUUUUGUUUUAAGCAUAGAUUAAUGAAAUUUCUUCUUACCCUAGACUUGCUAAUUCAAAAGCUGAAUCGCACGAUCUUUUGAACUUAUAUACUUGGCCCGACUGUUGUAUCGAAAUCUGGUAUUAGUUGUAAUAAAGUAUUUAGCGGUACAUUUUGUUCGAAAUAUUUUGGUUUUACGUCAAUGUUUUGCUGUGCCAUAAUGGAUAUUAAAAUUAGAAUAACUGAAUUGGUAAAAUUUGUAUAGUAUUAUAGAUUAUUAAUAAUACAUAGAUAGUAAAUAGAAAAAUUGAACUUGAAUUGGAAUAAUAAGAUUAUUUUAUGAUUUAGGCGAAAAUAGAUUUAUGGAAAGGAAACAGAGCAACAUGUGUUGACCAUUUACCCCAAUAACAGCAACAGAAUACGCAUCGCAGAGUAUUGUUUCGGCGAAGUGUUCAAAGCCCUUCAGGCACCGUCCUAGGUUUGUCGGCGAUGUUUGUCCGGGUCUCAGGCGUUAAGCUCGACUUGCACUAUUACGCUGCGAAUCCUACCGACUGCGCAAAAAUUUUUAUGAAGCAGGGUAAAACACAGUUGAUGUUUCGAAUAAACUCGUAGACUGAAUUGAAUUUUGUUAUUGGAAAUAGUCCAUAUAUAUUACAGAUAUAUCUUAAUUAGUAUUUACCAUUACAAUAUUAGUUGAAUAGACGGCUGCUUCCAUGAAAAGGAUGUCAAACGGCGACAAAUACGGAUAAUGACUACUUAGUAAUGGAAACUUGGAUGAGAUAGACAAAUAUAAAUAUACAAAUGGGAAUAUUAAAAAAUAUAAUGAUUCUGAUGGAAACUUGAGUGUCUUAGGUCACGUACACUUGGAAGUGUAAAACAAAAGAUAAAUACUGAAUAUAACUAUUUAAAAAAGGAGCUUGAUUACUGAAGCUAUUAUAAAGUUUCGCUUUCUACAUUCUGAUAUGUGUUGACCGGAUUUUUACAGUAAUUACACGCAAUGAAUUUUCAUGAAUUAUUUUUAAUUUGGUUACAUGGUUACAUGGUGGUUUAUAUAUGUGGGAUUGACAUUAUUAGCAAAACAACUUUUUAAAAGGAACUUUCUUUAUUUUUCGUCUUCACAAAUAUUCGUCUUUAUAGCUUGUUUUUCUAGAUCGUAAUCACCUCCGUAAUACAAUGAUACAGCCGUAAGGUAAUACAUAUGUACAUCCCUCUCUCUCACACAUAUGUACAUCCCUCUCUUUCACUUGAAGAUGGGAUCAUAUAUGCGUUUAAAAUUACAAUUGUGUUAGGUACAAUAUUUUUUUUUUUUGCAACGAAUAUAGUCUUACAAUUCUGUGGUAGUAUCAUUAUUGUCUGUUGUUGUCGAUGCUCGACAACAACAGACAAUAAUGUUUUUAAAUAAGGUUUGCCUAGCUAGAUUCAUAUUUCUAAUUCUAUCCUCUUGAAUAUCAAAGUGUCCGGCUAAAGAAACGAAACCUUUUGUUCUCAACACGACACCUAUGUCAGAACUCAGUUCAUUAAUAAAUACAUUUAGAGCGAUUUCUUCAGUGGUGCUCUUACUUCCUAUCAAUAUCGCAUAUGUUACUUGAACUGCUAAUUUCUCUAAGGUUUUAUUUCUGCAAAUAUCUACAAGGUGGAAUAAAUCUGUUAUUGAUUCAUUGGGUUUUUGAAAAAGUGAUUGUUAUUAUAUAUUUCAGUAUAAAUAUACAUUAUUUGUUAUCUUAGUGAAAUAGAUUCAUUUCCUACGUCAAUUAUCAUUUCUUCUACUUUCUUUAUUUUAUGGCUAGUUAUAUUAGGCCUUCUGAAUUUAAUUUUUCAUGUGAUACUAAUGGAAUAAAUUCAAUUUGAGUUAUUUUUUUACAUAUUAUAUUAUAAAAGUAUUCUCUGAGAAUAUAUACAAUAAUAUACAGUUAUGAAUAAAGUUCAAUAUUUGUUUUGAAUGAUAAUAAAAUAUUGAAAAGUAUAAAAUUAUUAAACGAAAACAAGUUAUAUUGGAUAAAGUAUUUUAUAUUAGACAAUAUAGUGACUUUAUUAUCAAUAACGGACAGAUGAGACAAGUUCUUAAUAAACGAAAUAAAUGAUAGGUGAUUAAUGGACAAUGCAAUCAAGAGAAAAUGUGUUCCCUUACAACUAUAGAGCCAUUAAAAAUUAUAAUAAAAAUUUGAUAUAUCUAUAAGUUAAGAUUAUCUUGAUGAAAAGUUUAAAAUUUAUAAAUAAAUUUGUAAACAUUGUAAAUUUGUUAAUUAUUGUUUUAAUAAGUAAAACGAGAAAUGUUUCUUUGUUUUAAAUUAAAUCCUGGCUAUAGAUUAAAAUAUUUUGUAACUUAAAUUUCGAAUGCAUAAAUCAAUCAAAUAUUGUACAUAGUUUUAGUUUAGUUUUAUUUGUGUCUGUGAUAUUGUAUAAUAAAUUUUGAAAUGUAUGUAUGUUCUGAAAUCUACAUAUUUAAUAAAAUUAUGUUAUACUUUAUGAAAUAUAAUACUUGUUUUGCACAAAAUACCUUUAUUUCUUAUCCAUACACACGUGUUCCAGAAUGUUUCAUAUUGUACAUCCAUUCCCUGUAAUAGUAGUUGCUUAGAUUAUAUAGAUAGUGUGUCUUCAUAGAAAUGCUUCGAGAAAAAC